RNAcentral lists this ribosomal RNA (500 nucleotides) under uncultured bacterium. Its description in RNAcentral is "partial 16S ribosomal RNA". It matches the Rfam family "Bacterial small subunit ribosomal RNA", at positions 30 to 523 of the family's 1533-position model. The record is from RNAcentral.
AUUGAACGCUGGCGGAAUGCUUUACACAUGCAAGUCGAACGGCAGCACGGACUUCGGUCUGGUGGCGAGUGGCGAACGGGUGAGUAACAUAUCGGAACGUAUCCAAUAAUGGGGGAUAACGAGUCGAAAGAUUCGCUAAUACCGCAUACGCCCUACGGGGGAAAGCCGGGGACCUUCGGGCCUGGCGUUAAUGGAGCGGCCGAUAUCGGAUUAGCUAGUUGGUGAGGUAAAGGCUCACCAAGGCGACGAUCAGUAGCUGGUCUGAGAGGACGACCAGCCACACUGGAACUGAGACACGGUCCAGACUCCUACGGGAGGCAGCAGUGGGGAAUUUUGGACAAUGGGCGCAAGCCUGAUCCAGCCAUUCCGCGUGAGUGAAGAAGGCCUUCGGGUUGUAAAGCUCUUUCGCAAGGGAAGAAAACUUAGCCACUAACAUUGGUUGAGGUUGACGGUACCUUGAUAAGAAGCACCGGCUAACUACGUGCCAGCAGCCGCCGUAA